RNAcentral lists this long non-coding RNA (7607 nucleotides) under Sus scrofa (pig). Its description in RNAcentral is "lncRNA (ENSSSCG00040030038.1)". The record is from RNAcentral. Lineage: Eukaryota; Metazoa; Chordata; Mammalia; Artiodactyla; Suidae.
UGGCUUAGCAGAAAUGAGUCUGACUAGUAUCCAUGAGGAUGCAGGUUCAGUCCCUGGCCUUGCUCGUUGGGUUAAGGAUCUGGCAUUGCUGUGAUCUGUGGUGUAGGUCACAGAUGAGGCUUGGAUCUCACCUUGGCUGUGGCUGUGGUGUAGGCUGGCAGCUACAGCUCUCAUUCGACCCCUAGCACGGGAACCUCCAUAUGCUGCAGUACGGCCCUAAAAAGACCAAAAAAAAAAAAAAAAAAUUCAAGAUAUGAAUUUGGGGGAACACAAACAUUCAGUCCAAAAUACAUGAGAAGGCCUUUCAUUUGUUGAUUUAUCCAAGGCAUAUCUGAAGAGUUAAAUCAAAAAUGCAUUUAGCCAGGGAAAAGUUUAGAUGAGGGCACAGUAAUUGCAGUGGGUCUUGGGUCUUGGAGAUUGAUCCUCAAAAUAACUUGACUGGGAAGAAGCAAUGAGAUGAUGUGAUUAUACAAAGAUGUGCUUCACAGCUAUGGAAGCUGUAGUCAUUCGUCACAGAGCGCACUAAGACACUCUUCUGGCUUCGUUGCCAGAAGAAACAGUGCAUCUUGUAAAACAUCCAACUUAGUCAUUUGAGAAAAAUUGUAAAAGUAGUGGUUGUUCCUCAUCUUCAAUACGAGUAUGAAUGUGCAUGUGCUUACUGUUUAAUUUUUUGUCUACCCUUCGGCGUAAGAGUUUCUGAAAGUGUUUCCUUUGCCUUCAUUUCUGUAACGUUUAUUCCUUAGGGGAUAGAGUCUCAUACUUCUUCUCCCUUUUCUUGUAAGAAGCAUCUCUUAUUCUCCCUUCCCAUUUCCCUUGUGAAAAAAGCUCCAAAUUCUUAUUGAUCAUCCCUUUCUCGUAUUUGUCGUGUAGUUCCUGAAAAUGUAUGGUAGACCCCAUGAAGAUGGGAAAAAUUAGAUGCUAACUAAUUAGUUGUUUAACUUCCCUCACACAAGUGGUAUCCAUUUGUAUCUCAGAAGAAACUCCGAAUUGAUGUUUCCGAUCUUAUAAUUCCUCAUUUUACUUGGAAAAAGUGGCUGUUUCCCUGUGAAGAAUCCCUGGAGCUCCCCCCUGGAGGUUUUCCAUAGAUUGGGCCAGCCGUCCCAACAUGAUCGAACCUAACCCAGAAUCUUCUUGGGCCUACCCUGAUCUCUAGUAUAAUACUGGGAGCUCCAAAUCUAUCUCUAGAAUUUGCAAAGUAGCACUAUCGCAUAUUCUUUAUUCUUUAUUUAAGGGCUUAGAGGUAAUUGAGCAUAGUAUGGAUCCUCUGGUAUCAGAGCUACCUCUGUAUUCUGUAAAUCGUUUACCAGCUUAGAGCCUUCUGGACAGUUCUAGAUCAAAGAGCAGGCCUUCUGAGCCCACGCCCCUGGAAGCAGAUGUGGAGGGAGCUGAAAAGUCCUGAGCUCUGAGUAAUCCUAUUUUUGGCACUGGCCAGAUGAGUAUCAUCAGCCUGUUCCAGAUGCCCUUCUUGCUCCCAUCUGUUCCCCAUAACCUGCUGGAGAUAAGGAAUGUGUUGUGUGGCUUGUCAGUUGUCUACUGGAUAAUGAUGGGCUUAAAAAGGACACAAUGACUCAGAAUUUAGAGGACUCCCCCUCUGGUUCUAGGCCCUGGCAUAUCAGUUGACUGCCACUGUUGGAUGAGAGAAAAACCAACAAGUUUUAUCUGGAGGAAAUACCACGUCUGGGUGGUCUCAGUGAAAUGAGACAGCCCUGGGGAAAAGCUGUGAUGUUAAGUAUACACACAUCCCGAAACGCUGGCUAACACCCAGAGCGUUUCUUCUCCUAGGUUUCCUUAGGUCCCCUCCAAUCAGCCACCACCCCCGUUGGCACUGGCAGACUCUUUCUGAUGUCUCUCGCUAUAGACUACGUUUUCCCUUGUUGUUGAAGUUCAUCUAAAUGGGAUUACAGAGUGUGUACUUUCUCAUGUGUGACUUCCUUGACACACGGUUUUAUGUUUUCAUGUAUAUCAUUGUUCACUCUUCCCUCUUGCUAGGUAGUUUUCUGUUGUGCGAAUAGAUCCAACCCUUUGAUCUAUUUUCCUGGUGACAGACAUUUGGAUUAUUUUCACCUUUUUGAUUGUUACAAGUAUUCAGCUACUGUGAAUGAGUUCUCUCUCACUCUCAUUCCUUUUUGGAUUUAGGCCUACUUGCUGGACCAUACAGUAGGCAUAUGUUUACCUUUGUAAGAAACUUCCAAGCAAUUUUCCAAAUAAUUAUACCAUUUCAUACUCCAUCCCGCAGUGGAUGGGAGUUCCAGGUGCUCCAGUUCAUCCUUAACAAUUGUAUAUUGUUGGUGUUUCUAAUUUUAACCAUUGUAUUGGAUAGGAAGUAGUAAUCUCUUUGUGAUUUUUAAUUUCCAUUUCCUUAGUGACUUACAUGUUCUCAUUGGUCAUUUGUGUACUUUCCCUUUCAAAUUAUCUGUUCAACCUUUUAUCUGUUUAUAUUUUCUCUUGGCCAUCUAAAAAUUGGAUUAUUUGUCUUAUUAUUAUUGAUAGGUAGGAGUUUUUUUUAAUCUGUGUACACUCAAUAAAAUUAUUUUGUCAGAAUCUCUUAUAUAUUUUUUAUAUAAUUUUUUUUAUUUUCCCACUGUACAGCAAGGGGGUCAGGCUAUCCUUACAUGUAUACAUUACAAUUACAUUUUUUCCCCCACCCUUUCUUCUGUUGCAACAUGAGUAUCUAGACAUAGUUCUCAAUGCUAUUCAGCAGGAUCUCCUUGUAAAUCUAUUCUAAGUUGUGUCUGAUAAGCCCAAGCUCCCGAUCCCUCCCACUCCCUCCCCCUCCCAUCAGGCAGCCACAAGUCUCUUCUCCAAGUCCAUGAUUUUCUUUUCUGAGGAGAUGUUCAUUUGUGCUGGAUAUUAGAUUCCAGUUAUAAGUGAUAUCAUAUGGUAUUUGUCUUUGUCUUUCUGGCUCAUUUCACUCAGUAUGAGAUUCUCUAGUUCCAUCCAUGUUGCUGCAAAUGGCAUUAUGUCAUUCUUUUUUAUGGCUGAGUAGUAUUCCAUUGUGUAUAUAUACCACCUCUUCCGAAUCCAAUCAUCUGUCGAUGGACAUUUGGGUUGUUUCCAUGUCCUGGCUAUUGUGAAUAGUGCUGCAAUGAACAUGCGGGUGCAUGUGUCUCUUUUAAGUAGAGUUUUGUCCGGAUAGAUGCCCAAGAGUGGGAUUGCGGGGUCAUAUGGAAGUUCUAUGUAUAGAUUUCUAAGGUAUCUCCAAACUGUUCUCCAUAGUGGCUGUACCAGUUUACAUUCCCACCAGCAGUGCAGGAGGGUUCCCUUUUCUCCACAGCCCCUCCAGCACUUGUUAUUUGUGGAUUUAUUAAUGAUGGCCAUUCUGACUGGUGUGAGGUGGUAUCUCAUGGUAGUUUUGAUUUGCAUUUCUCUUAUAAUCAGCGAUGUUGAGCAUUUUUUCAUGUGUUUGUUGGCCAUCUGUAUAUCUUCUUUGGAGAAAUGUCUAUUCAGGUCUUUUGCCCAUUUUUCCAUUGAUUGAUUGGUUUUUUUGCUGUUGAGUUGUAUAAGUUGCUUAUAUAUUCUAGAGAUUAAGCCCUUGUCAGUUGCAUCAUUUGAAACUAUUUUCUCCCAUUCUGUAAGUUGUCUUUUUGUUUUCUUUUGGGUUUCCUUUGCUGUGCAAAAGCUUUUCAGUUUGAUGAGGUCCCAUGGGUUUAUUUUUGCUCUAAUUUCUAUUGCUUUGGGAGACUGACCUGAGAAAAUAUUCAUGAUGUUGAUGUCAGAGAGUGUUUUGCCUAUGUUUUCUUCUAGGAGUUUGAUGGUGUCCUGUCGUAUAUUUAAGUCUUUCAGCCAUUUGGAGUUUAUUUUUGUGCAUGGUGUGAGGGUGUGUUCUAGUUUCAUUGCUUUGCAUGCAGCUGUCCAGGUUUCCCAGCAAUGCUUGCUGAAUAGACUUUCUUUUUCCCAUUUUAUGUUCUUGCCUCCCUUGUCAAAGAUUAAUUGACCAUAGGUGUCAGGGUUUAUUUCCGGAUUCUCUAUUCUGUUCCAUUGGUCUGUCUGUCUGUUUUGAUACCAGUACCACACUGUUUUGAUGACUGUGGCUUUGUAGUAUUUCUUGAAGUCUGGGAGAGUUAUGCCUCCUGCUUGGUUUUUGUUUCUCAGGAUUGCUUUGGCGAUUCUGGGUCUUUUGUGGUUCCAUAUAAAUGUUUGGAUUGUUUGUUCUAGUUCUGUGAAAAAUGUCAUGGGUAAUUUGAUAGGGAUUGCAUUGAAUCUGUAGAUUGCUUUGGGUAGGAUGGCCAUUUUUACAAUAUUGAUUUUUCCAAUCCAGGAACAUGGAAUAUCUUUCCAUUUCUUUACAUCUUCUUUGAUUUCUUUGAUUAAAGUUUUAUAGUUCUCGGCAUAUAGGUCCUUUACCUCCUUGGUCAGGUGUAUUCCGAGGUAUUUGAUUUUGUGAGGUGCAAUUUUAAAAGGUAUCGUAUUUUUGUAUUCCUUUUCUAAUAUUUCAUUGCUGGUAUACAGAAAUGCAACUGACUUCUGAAUGUUAAUCUUAUAUCCUGCUACUUUGCUGAAUUUAUUAAUCAGUUCAAGUAGUUUUGGGGUUGAGUCCUUAGGGUUUUCUAUGUAUAGUAUCAUGUCAUCUGCAUACAGUAAAGUUUUAAUUUUUAAUUAACCUAAUUAGUCAGAAUUUCCCCAUAUAUUAUCAGUCCUUUUCCUAAAUAAUCUGCUUUCUCAAGAUUGUAAAGAUACCUUCUGUGUUUUUUUUUUCCUUUUUUCUUUUAAUUUAUUUAUUUAUUUAGGGGCCUCACCCACAGUGCAUGGAAAUUCCUAGGCCAGGGAUCCAACUGUCACUAUAACAGUGACUUGAGCUGCAGAAGGGACAGUGCCAGAGCCUUAACCCACUGAGCCACCAGGGAACUCCCUUGUGUUUUCUUUUAGAAAGCCUUACAGUUUCAGCUUUUAUGCUCUGGUCCAUGAUCCAUCUCAGAUUAAUUUUUGUCUAUUGGGUAAUUUAGAGGUUAAAACUCAUUUUUUUCUUUUUUUGCACAUGUUUUCCCAGUUGUCCCAGCAUAAUUUGUUGAAAAGAUUUUUCCUUCGUCAUUGAAUUGCUUUGGCACCUUUAUCGAAAAUCAGUUAACCACAUAUGUAUGGGUCUAUCUCAAGGGAACCCUAAAGAAUGUAUGGACCACAUGGGUCAUGCACUUAAGUCUGGAAAUAACACUUCACACUGGUCAACCUUAAUAAGCCUCAAGUGACUGGCGGUCUUGAACUUACAUAUCAUGAAACAUUUGUGUCAAAAGUCACUAACAAACUCUGUGGGGACUGUUUUUUGCUUGUUUUAUAAAGCUAACCUAGUUGAGGCCUCUAGUAGUUUCAGAAUUCCCACAUUAAAUGUCAGGUUCUUAUCUCCACAGAAACAUACCAUCAGAUUUGUGUGAUCUGACCUCAGCCUGCAGGCAGCUUCAAAGAGAACUGUAUUUCAACUUAGGUUUUCUUAUUUGGAAACUUGGAUACGCAUGGAUUCAAAAUGACUGAUUUGGAACUCAUUAUAAUUAAGCGUGGGCUCCACCAAAAAAAUACUACUCUUAAUAUUUUUUUGUAAUGUAAAGAAACUUGUGAAGAAAACUUGUUUUACUAACUUGCAUGUAUUGUAUGCAGAAAUAGGUUUACUGCCUUUAAAAGCAAGUCUUGUCUAUGAAUAGAAUCUCAACUUGGAAAGUUUUUUGUAAACAGUUUUACUUAGCAUUUUUACUUGAAUAUAACUAAGAAUCAUCUUCUUUUAAGAGUCCUUGAUUUGAAAACCGAAGGAGGAAUAGCGUGAGAAAAAACACCAAGAUUAUUCUGUUAGAGGGAUAGAAUAAAAGGCAAUUGCCUCUCUUUGACAUCCUAAACUUCUGAGUUUUAGAAUUCGUGUUUUCCUGGUGCAGCCUUGCAGGGAAGUGUUAAGCGCAGAACUCUGACCUUGGAUGAGGUGGGUUGGGAUGCAAGCUCUGCUAGUCCCCACGGGCACCGGCCUCUAUGCUUCUCCUCAGGUUCAGAGGAGGCAGGAGGCUGAGAGCUGGGCCUGGGUCAGAGUGAGCACCAGGGGACUGUAGGCCAGUAGUGAUACUACUUUCAUAAUAAAAGCACACAGGAAAAGGAAAUCUUUUUAAAAAGAAGAAACUAAAAAGCAGAAAUCCAUCACUGUCCUAUGAUUCAAAUAUCUCACUGUUUGUAGCUGACUCCCCAGUUGGUUGAGCUGGUCCUGUUUUACUGUUAGUUUCCACUCUCUCCCCAAGGGAGGCAGAAUUAAAGUUGUUUUUGUUUUGUUUUUUUGAGCUCCUUAGGAGGUGUAUGCCCUGAAAAUACAAGAAGUGCUUCAUAUUAAUUACUAGAAUUAUUUUCGUUGCUACAGAAAGACUUUACAAGGAAAGAGACUCUUUGAGGUCGAAUCUUCCUCUCCUCCUACUUUGCUCUGAGCUCAAGUAAAACACAACAGUUGCUCACUUGAAAUACCAUCUCCCCUAACCUGUGUUUGGACUUGUACCGUUGUGCUCAGCUCCUGGCCCUUGUUUUUGCUUUCUCUAGCAAUUUCCUGGCCAGAGCAGGAACUAGAGCAGAGUCUGGGAGAAGUGACCAUGCCAGGACGGUUUUCCCACCUGUGCUUCCCUGCACGACUGAAAGGAGGGGUGUGUCCGACCCUCGCUGCAGUCCGUGUGCCGCAAAGCAGAAUCCAGCUCCGACCCACCACGAAGGUUGUUAAUGCGCUAUUAAUGGUGUUGAAAUAUGAUGUUUUGGUUACAUGUACAAGCUGAGUUUGAAUAUGGAUGAAGUGUGAGCUUUCCACACGUGGUCACAGAGCAGCCAUCAUCCUCCGUGGGCAGCACCUGUCUUUGCUGUCCUGUGUGUGGUUAAGGCCCAAGGAAGAGUGGUGUGAUUGCAGCUGACUUACUUGAUCUUACUCUGUUGAGGACGGACUUCUCGUGAGGUCGGCUCAUGUAGUCGCUCCUGUAAUCGGCUUUUUGUUUAUGUUCUCAGUGCUGUUCGGCAAAUGCUGCAGGGACAUAGAGCACUGGCACGUAGCUGUCAGGAUUUGCCAUCUGGGAGGUGAUGUCCCGCCGAGCGCCCUGCUCCCUCCUGUCCCAGGCCUCUGUCACCUCCCAGAAGCUCCACACCCGCCCCUCGGUUUUCACUUCUCAGUCUCUGUAGCUGCCACCCCGCCUGUGCACAGAGCAGACAGACCCCCAGAAGUGAGCUCACUCGGGUUCUGGCCCGAGUCAACACUUACCUGCACCUGCCUUGUUUUCCUGGCCUCCUGUUCCAGUGGGAAGGAUCCUUUCCCCCAUCUGAGACCCUGGACCCCAUCCCCUCUCACCUCCUCAGAGACUUUCUUUCUCUGCCCAUUACCUGCCAUUCGCCAUUGACUCUCUCUUGCGAGCAUGUAAACCUACUCAAGUCUUACAAGUUAAAAACAAAACCGGGAGUUCCUGUUGUAGCUCAGUGGUAACAAAUGCAACUAGUAUCCAUGAGGACACGUGUUCGAUCUCUGGCCUCACGCAGUGGGUUAAGGAUCUGGCGUUGCCAUGAGCUAUAGUGUAGCACAGAUGUGGCUCAGAUCUGGCCUUGCUGCAGCUGUGGUGUAGGCCGGCAGCUGCAGCUCUGAUUCAGCCCCUCGCCUGGGAACUUCCAUGUGUCACAGG